This 497-nucleotide ribosomal RNA is filed under the name uncultured bacterium. RNAcentral describes it as "partial 16S ribosomal RNA". It matches the Rfam family "Bacterial small subunit ribosomal RNA", at positions 28 to 507 of the family's 1533-position model. The record is from RNAcentral.
GACGAACGCUGGCGGCGUGCCUAAUACAUGCAAGUCGAGCGCUAAAGCAUUGUGCUUGUGCCCACUGGGUGAGCGGCGGACGGGUGAGUAACGCGUGGAGAGUCUGCUUUUUUUUGGGGGAGAACAUUUGGGAGCGAAUGCUAAUACCGCAUAAAAACUUUAACCACAGGAAUUAAGUUUGAAUGGUGCCUUUGCAUCACUCAAGAAUGGUUCCGCGUUGUAUUAGCUAGUUGGUGAGGUAAAGGCCCACCAAGGCGAUGAUACAUAGCCGACCUGAGAGGGUGAUCGGCCACAGUGGGACUGAGACACGGCCCAAACGCCUACGGGAGGCAGCAGUAGGGAAUCUUCGGCAAUGGACGAAAGUCUGACCGAGCAACGCCGCGUGAGUGAAGAAGGUUUUCGGAUCGUAAAACUCUGUUGGUAGAGAAGAACGUUGGUGAGAGUGGAAAGCUCAUCAAGUGACGGUAACUACCCAGAAAGGGACGGCUAACUACGUG